Molecule: ribosomal RNA, 492 nt
Filed under: uncultured bacterium
Lineage: Bacteria
Description: partial 16S ribosomal RNA
Rfam family: Bacterial small subunit ribosomal RNA
Source: RNAcentral
AGUGAACGCUGGCGGUAGGCCUAACACAUGCAAGUCGAACGGCAGCACAGUAAGAGCUUGCUCUUACGGGUGGCGAGUGGCGGACGGGUGAGGAAUACAUCGGAAUCUACUUUUUCGUGGGGGAUAACGUAGGGAAACUUACGCUAAUACCGCAUACGACCUACGGGUGGAAGCAGGGGAUCUUCGGACCUUGCGCGAUUGAAUGAGCCGAUGUCGGAUUAGCUAGUUGGCGGGGUAAAGGCCCACCAAGGCGACGAUCCGUAGCUGGUCUGAGAGGAUGAUCAGCCACACCGGAACUGAGACACGGUCCAGACUCCUACGGGAGGCAGCAGUGGGGAAUAUUGGACAAUGGGCGCAAGCCUGAUCCAGCCAUACCGCGUGGGUGAAGAAGGCCUUCGGGUUGUAAAGCCCUUUUGUUGGGAAAGAAAAGCAGCAGGUUAAUACCCCGCUGUUCUGACGGUACCCAAAGAAUAAGCACCGGCUAACUUCGUG